GAGGGUAUAGCUUAGUGGUAGAGUGCAUGCCUAGCAUGCAUAAGGUCCUGGAUUCAAUCCCCAGUACCUCCA
RNAcentral lists this transfer RNA (72 nucleotides) under Camelus bactrianus (Bactrian camel). It matches the Rfam family "tRNA". From Rfam's summary of the family: Transfer RNA (tRNA) molecules are approximately 80 nucleotides in length. Their secondary structure includes four short double-helical elements and three loops (D, anti-codon, and T loops). Further hydrogen bonds mediate the characteristic L-shaped molecular structure. tRNAs have two regions of fundamental functional importance: the anti-codon, which is responsible for specific mRNA codon recognition, and the 3' end, to which the tRNAs corresponding amino acid is attached (by aminoacyl-tRNA synthetases). tRNAs cope with the degeneracy of the genetic code in two manners: having more than one tRNA (with a specific anti-codon) for a particular amino acid; and 'wobble' base-pairing, i.e. permitting non-standard base-pairing at the 3rd anti-codon position. RNAcentral also lists the same sequence under 3 other names. The record is from Rfam by way of RNAcentral. Lineage: Eukaryota; Metazoa; Chordata; Mammalia; Artiodactyla; Camelidae.